RNAcentral lists this non-coding RNA (254 nucleotides) under Pelosinus sp. RNAcentral's name for it is "T-box sequence". It matches the Rfam family "T-box leader". From Rfam's summary of the family: Uncharged tRNA acts as the effector for transcription antitermination of genes in the T-box leader family. T-boxes are found upstream of many aminoacyl-tRNA synthetase genes and some amino acid biosynthetic genes usually in Gram-positive bacteria. The anticodon of a specific tRNA base pairs to a specifier sequence within the T-box motif, and the NCCA acceptor tail of the tRNA base pairs to a conserved bulge in the T-box antiterminator hairpin. Lineage: Bacteria; Bacillati; Bacillota; Negativicutes; Selenomonadales; Sporomusaceae. The record is from RNAcentral.
GUAAAUGUAAUGAGGGAGAACGUUGUAAUCCUAAGAUCGUUUCAGAGAACCGGUGGUUGGUGCGAACCGGCAACGAAGGGAAUGCAAAAAUCACUCCUGAACAGCAAAGCUGAAAUGCAUAAGUAAGCUGCGCCGGCUUCAGCUCCUAAAUGGAGUGCAACCGUUAUCUUGCUAGGGUUGUUAGACCCGAUGAGAUGUAGACCAAUUGGUCUAUAAAAAGGGUGGUAUCGCGAGAAAUUUCUCUUGCCCCUUUG